RNAcentral lists this ribosomal RNA (491 nucleotides) under Caulobacter segnis. RNAcentral describes it as "bacterial SSU rRNA". It matches the Rfam family "Bacterial small subunit ribosomal RNA", at positions 368 to 877 of the family's 1533-position model. The record is from RNAcentral. Lineage: Bacteria; Pseudomonadati; Pseudomonadota; Alphaproteobacteria; Caulobacterales; Caulobacteraceae.
GCAAUGGGCGAAAGCCUGACGCAGCCAUGCCGCGUGAAUGAUGAAGGUCUUAGGAUUGUAAAAUUCUUUCACCGGGGACGAUAAUGACGGUACCCGGAGAAGAAGCCCCGGCUAACUUCGUGCCAGCAGCCGCGGUAAUACGAAGGGGGCUAGCGUUGCUCGGAAUUACUGGGCGUAAAGGGAGCGUAGGCGGACUGUUUAGUCAGAGGUGAAAGCCCAGGGCUCAACCUUGGAAUUGCCUUUGAUACUGGCAGUCUUGAGUACGGAAGAGGUAUGUGGAACUCCGAGUGUAGAGGUGAAAUUCGUAGAUAUUCGGAAGAACACCAGUGGCGAAGGCGACAUACUGGUCCGUUACUGACGCUGAGGCUCGAAAGCGUGGGGAGCAAACAGGAUUAGAUACCCUGGUAGUCCACGCCGUAAACGAUGAGUGCUAGUUGUCGGCAUGCAUGCAUGUCGGUGACGCAGCUAACGCAUUAAGCACUCCGCCUGGG